This 223-nucleotide ribosomal RNA is filed under the name uncultured bacterium. Its description in RNAcentral is "partial 16S ribosomal RNA". It matches the Rfam family "Bacterial small subunit ribosomal RNA", at positions 111 to 334 of the family's 1533-position model. The record is from RNAcentral.
UAACGCGUGGGUAACCUGCCUCACACAGGGGGAUAGCAGUUGGAAACGGCUGAUAAUACCGCAUAAGCGCACAGUACCGCAUGGUACAGUGUGAAAAACUCCGGUGGUGUGAGAUGGACCCGCGUCUGAUUAGCUUGUUGGCAGGGUAACGGCCUACCAAGGCAACGAUCAGUAGCCGACCUGAGAGGGUGACCGGCCACAUUGGGACUGAGACACGGCCCAG